CCCGUUUUAUAAUUAUAUUAGUCAUUAUUUUAUUAUAAAAAAUUGGAAAAGAAAAAUAAAAUACAACUAAACUAUCUUUAAAAAUAGCCCACGCUGCACCCCCACCCCAUUACUUUCCCCACUCUCGAUCAAUUCUUUUCUUUUCUCUCGGCGUAGACAUAAACCCAGCGACUUGGCCUUCUCUUCUUUUGUUCAUUUUCUUGUUCCUCUUCACAACUAAAUGCUACACCAAAUUCCACCGUAAUAUAUAUACAUUCAUCAAGAAAAUUCUUGGCAUUCAAGUGGAGGCUUUUGGGACAAUUUUGGGAGUUAGGGUUUGUGUUUUAAGGAAGGAGAAUAGUACCCAUUGAUUCAGAAUUGCUUAAUUGGAUUAUUGAGAUUUGCCGGGCGGAGGUUCGUUUGCGUGUCGCGGAACGAUUGAGGACGGUCCAAUUGAUUCGUCAUAGCUAUUCUUCAGCAGCUGAGUAACAAGUUGUUCUUGGAUUCAGGUUGUCAGUUGUCUUGCUGGUAGGCCUCCAUUGGCUGGUGGCCUCAUUACUAUUUUAUUUCUUUUUAUUCUAGUUAUCUGCAGCUAUAGGGAGUCGUAGGUGAAUUUAGUUUGGGGUUGACGUUACCGUUUUAUUUUUGUAAGUAGACGCUGAGCGUUGAAUUCCGAUUUUGUACCUUUUCUUGAAAUUUUGGAUUUGGAGAACAUUAUUUAGCAGGUUAUGUUAUUUUGAGAUUAUUGAAAAUACAGAGGAUACUCUUUCGUUUUUGUUUUAAAUUUAUGCGGACGUAUUUAUCAUGGAAAAUUGGUUAUAAAUGGUUUAUGUGG
Long non-coding RNA from Lotus japonicus, 814 nucleotides. RefSeq lists it as uncharacterized. The transcript is spliced from 3 exons. NCBI's taxonomy places the organism in Eukaryota, Viridiplantae, Streptophyta, Magnoliopsida, Fabales, Fabaceae. The record is from RefSeq and is a predicted model, not a curated record.